This 466-nucleotide ribosomal RNA is filed under the name uncultured bacterium. RNAcentral's name for it is "partial 16S ribosomal RNA". It matches the Rfam family "Bacterial small subunit ribosomal RNA", at positions 339 to 795 of the family's 1533-position model. The record is from RNAcentral.
CUACGGGAUGCUGCAGUGGGGAAUAUUGGACAAUGGGGGAAACCCUGAUCCAGCAAUGCCGCGUGUGUGAAGAAGGCCUGCGGGUUGUAAAGCACUUUCGGUUGGGAGGACUGCUUCUAGCACUAAUAUUGUUGGAAGUUGACGUUACCUUCAGAAGAAGCACCGGCUAACUCCGUGCCAGCAGCCGCGGUAAUACGGAGGGGUGCAAGCGUUAAUCGGAAUUACUGGGCGUAAAGCGCGCGUAGGCGGCUAGAUCAGUCGGGUGUGAAAGCCCCGGGCUUAACCUGGGAACUGCAUCCGAUACUGUCUAGCUUGAGUACAGGAGAGGAGAGUGGAAUUCCACAUGUAGCGGUGAAAUGCGUAGAUAUGUGGAGGAACACCAAUGGCGAAGGCAGCUCUCUGGCCUGAUACUGACGCUGAGGUGCGAAAGCGUGGGGAGCAAACAGGAUUAGAUACCCGAGUAGUC